UAAUUAUGCGACUUCUGACUGAUGUCCCUUUGCUUCUUUCUUUUAGAAGGGUGGAGGAGCUCUCAUAAACACCAUGAAGAACAAGACCAAUCCUGCUGUCAAGAAUGUAUACCAAUAUGCAAAAGACCAUGCCAAAAUGGGACUGAAAUCUAUGCGGAACCACUUACUAGAAAAGUCUCGUCCCAGACGACCACAGAGAACUAACAGCAAGACAGAACUAGAAGUUGAAAG
RNAcentral lists this long non-coding RNA (231 nucleotides) under Salvator merianae (Argentine black and white tegu). RNAcentral's name for it is "lncRNA (ENSSMRG00000017086.1)". Lineage: Eukaryota; Metazoa; Chordata; Lepidosauria; Squamata; Teiidae. The record is from RNAcentral.